This is a non-coding RNA of Hymenopellis radicata, 82 nucleotides long. Lineage: Eukaryota; Fungi; Basidiomycota; Agaricomycetes; Agaricales; Physalacriaceae. The record is from the annotation of a GenBank genome assembly.
GCCUGCUUGGCUCAGUUGCUAAGAGCACCAGAUCUUAACUAAGUCGCCUGGAUGGAUGUAGGUUCGAGUCCUGCAGCAGGUA